UCCCUGGAGGACUAGUGGUUAGGCCUCAGCGCUCUCACCGCUGCAGCCCGGGUUCGAUUCCAGGCCAGGGAA
This 72-nucleotide transfer RNA is filed under the name Pangasianodon gigas (Mekong giant catfish). RNAcentral's name for it is "tRNA-Glu". It matches the Rfam family "tRNA". From Rfam's summary of the family: Transfer RNA (tRNA) molecules are approximately 80 nucleotides in length. The record is from RNAcentral. RNAcentral also lists the same sequence under 1 other name. Lineage: Eukaryota; Metazoa; Chordata; Actinopteri; Siluriformes; Pangasiidae.